GUGACCCGUCCCCCCCUUGUCUUGUGUCAUGAUGUAUGUUUGGAUGGGUUGUACUGGAAUUCUAAUUUCCCCUCGGGGAUCAAUAAAGUAUCUUUGAUUGAAUUGAAUUAAUCAAAUUUUACAAAACAUAUGUAAUCCAGGCCUGAAAUUCCUUAUUAUCUUCUAAGGGCAACCUGUACAAGGCAGUGGGGGCACAUUGGAUGGAAGUUUACUUUCUGUUAUUGUCCAUCCAUCCAUCCAUCCAUCCAUUCACCCAUCCAUCCAUCCAUUCAACCCUCCCUCCCCAAGAUUUUUGGGGAUAGAUCUUUGUGGUCACACCAUCUGUAGCAAUGGCUUUUACCAGCAGUGAGAUGGGGGUGUCACUGUUGUUCCUGAUAAUAUUUUGAAGGGCUGAGCUGUCACAGAAAGCACAGCAUAAGCACUGACAAAACGUAUCAAAUGCACAUGUCCAGAACAGAGAUUGUUGAUUUCCCAACUCAAAUCGGUUGAUGCAGGUUUCCAUUUUUUAAUAGUCCCACUUUCACUCUUUUUGCCACAAAAGAUGGAUCUGCAUGGAGUCAUUCAGUGCAGGAAGUGAGAUAAGAAGUCCUCUUCCUUUUUUUGGGUGGAAGAAUUAGUCCCCUCCAGUUUUCAACCACGUCUUCAUCUGUUGGUUUCAUCGGAUUCCACAGAAUGGUGAGAAUCCAUUCUUCUCUUGGCUUCAGCACUGUGGGUAGUCAUGGAUACAGAGUUUGUUUCGGAAACAUUUGCUAAUCCAGAUGUUUCCUCAUAAUUUUUCACUUUUGCAGAACAAAUCCGCAUAUUUCCUUCAAUGAAGGAAAGAUGACGAGAAAUAAACCGAUCAACUCGAAUGGGUAAGUUCUCGUGUUUAAAAAGGCCAUGCUUUACAUUUUUGAAUUCUGCUUCAACAGUGGCUGAGCUUGCUGUGUGACUGGUGCUUUUGAAGAAGGGGAACAUUACUCCUGUCCAAAGUGCCACGUAGGUCAGUCUGGAUCUCGUCAAAAGGAUCCACUUGAUACGCUUCCUUUGUGUCUUCAGCUGGAAUGAUGAUGGAGUCUUCUGUGAUCUGGGUUUUUAGAUAUUUUUUGCACAUCUCUGAUUCGAGAGGGACUCCAGAAAUAUCAUCACCCUCUGCCUCACUGAGGGCCACAACAGUGAUGGCAGUCCCACUGACAGAUCAUCUUUAUGCAGUGUGCCACAUCAACCCUGAUAAAACAAGGAGGGAGUUUUGCAGACUGGUUCCCAAGUAGCACAAGGAAGCAUUCGUUAAUGUAUGUCUUCAGAUCGGGGUAAGUGAAGUGAAGGCCUUCACCAGAGCGCCAGGAAUAGCCAGAGAAAAGUAACUCACAGCUUCCUUUGGUACAGCAGCACCUGUACGUAGCCAUUCUGUCAGCCAUGUUGCAAUUGCAUUAAUGUUGUGUCUCUCUGACAGCAUUUACUGAGCAGUUGUCCCCUGUCAGAAUGCCUUGAUAUAAGAUGUGGCCCGAUGUACCAUUUGGUCUCACCAAUCUUCUCACAACUGAGCCAGUUGCAUCAAACCAAACUACUGAGGGGCAUUUUUUGGACAUUGCCUUGUACACAUGUAGCUGUAUUUGACUCCAAUAGUGGCAGAAGAACUUGUCUAGACCAAUGUUUCUUAUACUACCACCUUGAGCUUUUCGUAGGGUGGCCAAAUUUGGAAGGCGACUUGGCUGACCAUCUCCAACAUCCAUCCAUCAAAUCUGAUGCCUUCACUGACCUCCAUAUAGCCGGCUCCAUCCUGCCCUCACACAGCUCUUUUGAAAUCUGUGCACCAAGGUUUCCAGACAUGAACCUCUUGGAUUGCACAGAGUGCAGGGAGAUAUCUGUGUCUUUGAUGGAACACUGAAGCAGCAUUGGGCUGUUUAAUAUGGCCUUGACACACUUUACAGAAGCCUUUGAUAUCUAUGUAGUUGCUUGUGACAGUUGGAUAAACCUUUGCUCUCUGGAACACAAAUGUACAUGUGCUUUUGAUCUUUUUCCAAAUCAGAUGGUUAAUUACAUGACUCCAAGUGCCAGUCUUCAAAAUCAUAUAUUCCCUUUUGCCAGAUGAUGAAAACUUGUCAUUAUAUUCCACUUUCUCAGGUACAAAUUUGAUCCAUUCCUAAAAAGGAACUUCAAGCUGAAAACCUGAGCAGUCGUCUUGUCCAGGAGAAAUAGAGCCAGAGUCAAUCUCUGUGUCCACACAGCUCUCACGAUCACUUUCCUGCUCACUGAUCUCCAAACAUGACCAGAUGUUGUGUCUGUUUGACUUUACAAAAGUGUACAGUGCUUUUGGAGACAUCUUGUUUUCCAGCUGCUGACUUAAUUCUGUCCAAAUAGUGGCAGCUGGAGUGGCUAUUUUGCAAUUUAGAAGGAUAGCCUCUUUUGAACUGCAGAGAACUGCAAAAAGGGAAUCCCUUUCUAUUGAUGGCUGUCGAGGCAUCUAGUUAAAGAAUGAAAAGGCUUUGUUUAUUAUUAAUCAAAAUGUUAUUCUGGCCUAUAUAAUCUCCCAAAGCCACAAAACAUUGAUAUUUCAGCAUUCUAUCACAACUCAAAAAUUCAGUUUAAAUUGUUCUUCUCUCAGAUCUGUAUGCCAUUUAUGCUGUGUUGUAAUUAUAGUUUGUUUUUAUUUUAUUUUAUUUUAAAUGUUGAAUUUUUUACUACUAUUUGUCUUAUGAAUUUUCAAUUGAAGUAUCUGUUCAACUUUAAAUAUGUGUCUUAGUUCUGGGGAGUCUACUGAUGUGCCUAAAUAUCGAUGACUGAAUAUGAAUGGAAUACCUGCAAGAUGAAGCCUUGCAGAAUCUUUGUUUCAACAUUUUUUAAAAGGCUGGACUUAAAAUGUGAUUGAAUUGUGGGUUUACAGAAAUAUAUAUGCAAGGCAUGCAACCAUGCAUCCUUCUCUACUAAUCGGGGCCUGGAUUGCAGUGGCAGCAGUGAGUCAGUGUUUUAUCUAACAACUCAACAUUAGUUUACUUACCUUGUACAAGUGUAGUAAAAAAGGAUGUAGCCUACGUUUUUCAUAAAAACACACUAUUCGAGGUUUUAAAAGAUACUGGUCAGUGGAAAAUUUUGAACGGGAAGUUUUAAAUACCGCCAAAACAAGGUCAAUGGUGCGGGUCUAUAAAAAGUCUUACAUUUAAUGCCAGAAAUUAGAAAUUAACGCUUGAUACAUUUCAAAUUUUAUUUAAACAAAAUUACUUGGUUAUGAACUUUGAGCCAAUGAUCUACUCGCAUUUCCACUUUUGUCCAGCGUACACAAGCUGAAUUAGAUUAUUAAAACUACCUUUUAAAAAAACAGUAACACAGAACAGUUAUUGAAAUUAUAAACAUUACAUCAUUGUGGUGGCAGACCAUGUCAGGUUUUGAGCAAGGAAUGUGUAGGCUGCAGCUGGUGGUUUUUUCCCCAUUUGUGAGAGGAUAAUGUUGAAUACUGUGUAGAAAGAUAAAUGUAUUGGUGACUUAGUAGACAUAUUUAAAGCAAAUUUCUUUGAGACCAAAAAAGUUUCAUAAUCUUUAUUAAGGAAUAAAGUGCAAAAAAAUAUAACAAGGCAUACAUUUUACAACAUUGGAUAAAAACACAAUUUAACUUGCUUGAUGAAAGAAAAACACGAAAUGAACUGCUUGGUUUGUGGUGAUGAUAUCCAGCGCAGGCCAUAGACGUCAUCGAUUUAAGUCGUCAGUGAUGGCCUGAAAGAAAAUUAUAUAGCUCGUACAUAAAAGCAGCACAAACAGAGCA
Molecule: long non-coding RNA, 3736 nt
Organism: Girardinichthys multiradiatus
Lineage: Eukaryota; Metazoa; Chordata; Actinopteri; Cyprinodontiformes; Goodeidae
Exons: 4
Source: RefSeq, a predicted model, not a curated record